CGCGGAGUGGAGCAGUUGGUAGCUCGUCGGGCCAUAACCCGAAGGCCGCAGGUUCGAGUCCUGCCUCCGCUA
This 72-nucleotide transfer RNA is filed under the name Candidatus Parvibacillus calidus. Its description in RNAcentral is "tRNA-OTHER". It matches the Rfam family "tRNA". From Rfam's summary of the family: Transfer RNA (tRNA) molecules are approximately 80 nucleotides in length. Their secondary structure includes four short double-helical elements and three loops (D, anti-codon, and T loops). The record is from RNAcentral. Lineage: Bacteria; Pseudomonadati; Bacteroidota; Saprospiria; Saprospirales; Saprospiraceae.